CACAUUUCAGAAAUUGAAUCCAUUCUUUCUAGCGAUCUCGAACUUAUUAGUGAGUGGUUAGUUGACAAUUAACUGUCCCUACAUCUUGGUAAAACCGAGUCAAUAUUGUUUGGCUCAAAGCCCAAACUAAGGUCAAAUCCUCAGUAAAAUGUCUCUUGCAAUGGUGUGUCAAUUACUCCAUCAAAUUCUGUUAAGUAACUAGGUGCUAUAUUGGACAAGUGCCUGUCUGGUGAAACCAUUGCUAGGUCAGUUAUUACAAAGGCAAACUCCAGGUUAAAGUUUAUAUACAGAAAAAAGAAGUUCUUAACAUUGCACACCAGAAAACUCCUUGUCACGUCCCUUUUACAGUGCCACUUUGACUAUGCCCGCUCCUUUUGGUACCCUGGUCUUAUUCAGUCACUUAAAAAUAGGCUUCAAACUACACAGAACAAGGUAAUUAGAUUUGUUCUGAAUAUGGAUAACAGAUCCCGUGUUGGUCAAGAACAGUUUUCAUACUAAGGUUGGCUGCCUGUUUCAAAAAGAGUAGACCAGGUCAUACUAAGUCAUGUACAUAAGGUUAAAAAUGGCCUUGCACCAGAGUAUAUGGGUCCAAUAUGGUAGCUCAGCCAGAAUCUGAUCAUUUUGCUGAUAAUUUUACAUUUGUAGACUCUGGUCGUUUUUCCAAACCAAGAGUAGGUAGUUUUGGUUCUAAAACAUUUACAAAUAAUGGUAUUAGUUUAUGGAACAAUCUUCCACAAAACAUCAGGGAUGUAUCUAAACCUAAUCAUUUCAA
Molecule: long non-coding RNA, 772 nt
Organism: Dreissena polymorpha
Lineage: Eukaryota; Metazoa; Mollusca; Bivalvia; Myida; Dreissenidae
Exons: 2
Source: RefSeq, a predicted model, not a curated record